RNAcentral lists this long non-coding RNA (1238 nucleotides) under Phoenix dactylifera (date palm). RNAcentral's name for it is "long non-coding RNA (PDAC_LNC015336)". The record is from RNAcentral. Lineage: Eukaryota; Viridiplantae; Streptophyta; Magnoliopsida; Arecales; Arecaceae.
GAGUUAGAAAGGGAGGUCAGUGUUUUUUAACAUCUCUCAACUUUGAUUCUGUUAGUUAUGGUUUUCAGCCUUGACCCAAAUGGUCGAAGCCAUGUUUUCAAACUCUUUGAAAAGGAGAUCACAUACGAAUGCUAGAAUACUAGUUUCUUUUACAGCAGGAAUACAAGCAUGUGGAAAAAGAUAUAAAAAAUAUACUACCCAUAAUUGAAAAUGCCAUAGAUUGUGGUGUGAAGCCACACCCAAUAGAUGGCGGCACCAUAAGUAGCAUUCCUACUUUAUUCUGAAACCAGUCCAUAAUAACUAUUAAAGAAUUAUGAGUUAUUUUUUCUCAACUAUGGUAUGUAAGAAAACCCUUUUUUAAAAUAUCUUGUCAAUAUUUAAUGUAACAGAGUUCAACCAAAAUCAGCUUCUAAUCCAUUAGAUGCUUUCUAAUGCAGCUUUCAGCUGAAACCCUAAAAACAAAACCAAAGCUUUUCAGAUUCUCCCCAAAAUGAUCCGUAACCAACAUUGGUUAUGGAGUUUCAGCUGACACCGGUCUGCAGAGUCAUUUCUUAUGUAUAUACGUGCAAGGUGUUCUUUUCUAACAACUUAAUAAUAUAUUUGAUUUCUGGAAAAUAAUUUAUAACUAUUAGACUUUGAUUCUACAAGUUUUAAGAAAACAAGAAGCAUUUAUGUGUUUGGCCGCAAUCAGGAAUAAGUAAUCUUUUUCGAAACUUGUAAGAACUUUUUUUUGUUAGCGUGCAUGCAUAUAUUCUGCAACCCACCCCCCACAAAAAAGAAAAAAGAUUGGACAUCUUGAAUAGUGGAUUUCAAGAUUUAAGCUCAAAUUUGUAAGAUUUGUUUCCCCUGCAAAGUGUCAAUUGCCAAAGCCCAAUAGGGUUCUAAGACGCUUUACAAUCCUCUUUCGUAGACUUUAGAGAUCAAUCAUCUUUAGCUGCAGAACCUGUAGAACUAUAAAUAAAACAAAAGUCUUCUUAGUUUCCAUAAAAAUAUAAAUUAAUUUAUUUUCACGUCAUUUGUAACAUUAUUUGCAAUUCAUAUCCAACACAAUCAUACUUACAACAAUGUAUAUAGAUUGUCAUGUGCUAUAGUUUCCUAAAAGAAUUGAACAAUAUAUAAACUCUUAAAUGAUAUCAAUGAUAUCAUAUGCAUUUUAACAUUUUCUUAGUUGUUCACGUUUAUAAUUUAUUAGUUUCAUCAUCAUAACAACCUAAACUAUUCAUGCAUACAUCAAUAUU